UACGUAGGUGGCAAGCGUUGUCCGGAAUUAUUGGGCGUAAAGCGCGCGCAGGCGGUCCUUUAAGUCUGAUGUGAAAGCCCUCGGCUCAACCGAGGAGGGUCAUUGGAAACUGGGGGACUUGAGUGCAGAAGAGGAAAGUGGAAUUCCAAGUGUAGCGGUGAAAUGCGUAGAGAUUUGGAGGAACACCAGUGGCGAAGGCGACUUUCUGGUCUGUAACUGACGCUGAGGCGCGAAAGCGUGGGGAGCAAACAGG
This 253-nucleotide ribosomal RNA is filed under the name uncultured bacterium. Its description in RNAcentral is "partial 16S ribosomal RNA". It matches the Rfam family "Bacterial small subunit ribosomal RNA", at positions 524 to 776 of the family's 1533-position model. The record is from RNAcentral.